RNAcentral lists this ribosomal RNA (585 nucleotides) under Fusarium sp. P37E2. RNAcentral's name for it is "eukaryotic LSU rRNA". The stretch from base 218 to 371 matches the Rfam family "5.8S ribosomal RNA". The record is from RNAcentral. Lineage: Eukaryota; Fungi; Ascomycota; Sordariomycetes; Hypocreales; Nectriaceae.
UUUGGUCAUUUAGAGGAAGUAAAAGUCGUAACAAGGUCUCCGUUGGUGAACCAGCGGAGGGAUCAUUACCGAGUUUACAACUCCCAAACCCCUGUGAACAUACCUAUACGUUGCCUCGGCGGAUCAGCCCGCGCCCCGUAAAACGGGACGGCCCGCCCGAGGACCCCUAAACUCUGUUUUUAGUGGAACUUCUGAGUAAAACAAACAAAUAAAUCAAAACUUUCAACAACGGAUCUCUUGGUUCUGGCAUCGAUGAAGAACGCAGCAAAAUGCGAUAAGUAAUGUGAAUUGCAGAAUUCAGUGAAUCAUCGAAUCUUUGAACGCACAUUGCGCCCGCCAGUAUUCUGGCGGGCAUGCCUGUUCGAGCGUCAUUUCAACCCUCAAGCUCAGCUUGGUGUUGGGACUCGCGGUAACCCGCGUUCCCCAAAUCGAUUGGCGGUCACGUCGAGCUUCCAUAGCGUAGUAAUCAUACACCUCGUUACUGGUAAUCGUCGCGGCCACGCCGUAAAACCCCAACUUCUGAAUGUUGACCUCGGAUCAGGUAGGAAUACCCGCUGAACUUAAGCAUAUCAAUAAGCGGAGGAA